RNAcentral lists this unclassified non-coding RNA (107 nucleotides) under uncultured Rhizophagus. RNAcentral describes it as "sequence contains ITS1". Lineage: Eukaryota; Fungi; Glomeromycota; Glomeromycetes; Glomerales; Glomeraceae. The record is from RNAcentral.
CCAAUUUUAGCGAACCUGAUCUUUUUUGGUCAUGGUCUCGCGAAAAUCGUAUUUAAAACCCCCACUCUUAUAUAUGAAUCAUUUUUUUGUGUAUAUAAAAAAUAAGA